CGGGUGAGUAACACGUGAGUGACCUGCCUUUUAGACUGGAACAACUUACCGAAAGGUGAGCUAAUGCCGGAUGAGUUAUAUAAGUGCAUGUUUAUAUAGGAAAAGUUGGGAGACCUGACGCUGAAAGAUGGACUCGCGUCCCAUUAGCUAGUUGGUAGGGUAAUAGCCUACCAAGGCGACGAUGGGUAGCCGGCCUGAGAGGGUGGCCGGCCACACUGGGACUGAGACACGGCCCAGACUCCUACGGAAGGCAGCAG
Molecule: ribosomal RNA, 257 nt
Filed under: uncultured bacterium
Lineage: Bacteria
Description: partial 16S ribosomal RNA
Rfam family: Bacterial small subunit ribosomal RNA
Source: RNAcentral